GGGCGCAUAGCUCAGUUGGCCAGAGCGCCUGCCCGACACGCAGGAGGUCGCUGGUUCAAGUCCAGCUGCGCCCACCA
Molecule: transfer RNA, 77 nt
Filed under: Planctomycetota bacterium
Lineage: Bacteria; Pseudomonadati; Planctomycetota
Description: Planctomycetes bacterium tRNA-Val
Rfam family: tRNA
About the family: Transfer RNA (tRNA) molecules are approximately 80 nucleotides in length. Their secondary structure includes four short double-helical elements and three loops (D, anti-codon, and T loops).
Source: RNAcentral